GAGGCAGCUUUGUACACUGCCCCCUCUCCAAGUUCCCUGGAUGAGAGCCAGGACGCCCCAAGCCUGGGGAAAGAAAACGGAGCAUGCACAUGGCCUAGAUUCCAGGUCCCCCCCUCCUUCUGGGUAAGAAGCUAAGCUAGGACCUUAGACUUUCCCCUUUCAGAAGGCAGUGGCCAAGGCCCCCCGCCCACCUGGCCAGCCCCCAAGGGCCUCCUCGUGCCUGCAGCCUGGCAUCUUCCUGUUCUACCUCCUCAUUCAGACUGUAGGCUUCUUUGGCUACGUGCACUUCAGCAGGCAGGAGCUGAACAAGAGCCUUCAGGAGUGUCUCUCCACAGGCAGCCUUCCUCUGUGUCCUGCACCACACACCCCCAGGGCCCCGGGGAUUCUGAGGAGGCAGCCUCUCCCUGCCAGCAUGCCUGCCUGACCCACCUCAGAGCCUGCUUUGCAUCACUGGGAAGCAGGCAGUGUCUUGGGUGGGGGCUUGGUCAGUAUCCUCUCUGUCUGGGUGCCCAGCUCCCACCCACACCUGAGCUUUCGGCAUGCUCCCACCUUAUUAAAGGUAAUUUCCCUCUC
Molecule: small RNA, 573 nt
Filed under: Pongo abelii (Sumatran orangutan)
Lineage: Eukaryota; Metazoa; Chordata; Mammalia; Primates; Hominidae
Description: retained intron
Source: RNAcentral